This is a long non-coding RNA of Dasypus novemcinctus (nine-banded armadillo), 4927 nucleotides long. The record is from Ensembl. NCBI's taxonomy places the organism in Eukaryota, Metazoa, Chordata, Mammalia, Cingulata, Dasypodidae.
CCUGCCUCGGGGCGCCUGCUGUGGGGGCUCCGCGAUGGCAGCGUCAGGAAACCCAGGUGCCGUGGGAGCCACCCUGGAGGGGCUGUGUGGAGACCACCCACCUCACUCCACACGGAGGCCCAGCUGCCUGCCACCUGUCCAGCCCCACGGGACGGCUCUGCGCAGCCGGCCUGACCCUCUGAAAGCAGCACUUGCCUUCCCGGGGCCUGCCUUGUUCUCACCUGCCAGGGGGCCUGCCCUGCUCACUCCUGGGGGGCCUGCCCUGCUCACUCCUGCAGGGGAGAGCCUGCCCUGCUCACUCCUGGGGGGCCUGCCCUGCUCACACCUGGGGGGCCUGCCCUGCUCACUCCUGGGGGGCCUGCCCUGCUCACUCCUGCAGGGGAGAGCCUGCCCUGCUCACACCUGGGGGGCCUGCCCUGCUCACACAGCAGCCUCCGUGUCCAGGUGGCCCAGGGAUUUCCGCCGUGAGGGUUUCCGUCCAUCGCUGGAUGAGGGGCAUGGUUGAAUUAACCCCACUCGUUCUCACGCAGACACACCAGGGCGCUGAAUUCUGUCUGGUUUUCUGAGCCCUGCGGCACAGCUAGACACGCCUGGGUACACUUGGAGGCGCCGGCACCAAACAAGCAUCAGGUUUCCGUGGCUACACCUGCAGCAAGUCUGGGCCUUGCGUGGCUGAGCCCAGCGACAGGUGGGAGGAGCCCGGACAAGGCCAAGCGAGGUACAGACCCGGCUGGGGGCCUGGACCCACGUGCGGUGGCUGCUGGCCACGGGGCGAGCCCGGGCACCUGGCCACACCUCUCCCCACGAGGAUGUCAGCUGACAGCGAAGGGCAUUUCCUUCAGAGAGCACCCUAAAAUAGAGGACGGAGAGGAGCGGAGAGCCUCCCCUUUACGCCCCUCGCAAGGCAAUGCUCCAGCAGGGCUAGCAUACAGCAGCAGGGACCACCAGGCAUCUGUGCCGCCACGAAGACGCCCAGCAAAAAGACCAAAGGACUGCCUGCUCUAAGUCGCACGAAAGAGCGCCCAGGAUGGGGAGAAGGUGGCUCCACGGGGAGGGGAGGGGCGUUAGAGUUACUGUAAACCAGGCAACGCCCAAGGCCACUAACGGCAAGCACCCGCGUGAGGCAGGGAACGCCGGAGGGGCCUGCCCACACGCCUGCCUCUGGCUGUGCUGGAGCACUGCGGCUCCAGGGGGCCACCGCCCACAGCCGGACCCCUGCAGCAAUGGCCAGAGGUGCCUCUGCCUCCGUUUGUCUUUACUAGAUCCUGGGGAUCAGGGGAAUCUUUCAUAUCACGAGCUGCACACAAACCUCAGGAAGAGACAGGUGCGGGAGAGUUAACACUUUAAAAUGUUAAAUGCAGGGUGUGACAAAGGAUUACAGGACAAACCAAGAAAUGGGAAAGGAUGGCCCAUCCAAAGGAACAGGAUAGAAAUCCAGAAACCGUCAAUGAAGACAAUCAGACAAUGGACCCGCCAGGCAAAGAUUUAAAAAAAAAAAAAAUCCUCAAUAUGCACAAAGAACUAAAGGAAAACAAAGAAAAAGCACUAAAGGUUAUCAAGAAAAUAACGAAUGAAAAAUAAAAAUAUGAGGAUCUCAAUAAAGAAACAUUUUAAAAAGGAAAUAAACAGAAAUUGUACUUGAAGAAAUAUUGCAGUUACUGAAAUAAAAAUUUUUUAGAGGUUUCAACUGCAAAUUGGAGCUGGCAAAAUAAAGAAUCCAUGAACUUGAGGACAAGAAAGUGAAAUGAUUCAGGCUGAAGAGAAAAAAGAAAAAGGGAUGGAAAAAAAGAGUGAGUAGAGGCUCUCCACAUAGCAUUAACAUUCUUUACUGUAUUCCAAUCAAGCAAAAAAUCUCCUUCAAGAAAUAUCCUAGCUGUAACUGCACUUUGGAAUGGUGGAUUAACCAAGACUUCAGUGUUUCAAGUUGAUAUGAGGGUUGAACUGGAACAUUCUUUGUUCAUGGACUGUAAGACUAAAUAUUGUCAAGAUGUCAAAUCUACUCAAAGCUAUUUACAGAUUCAAUGCAAUCCCAAUCAAAAUUGCAAAAGCCUUCUUUGCAGAAGUGGAAAAGCCAAUUAUCUAGUUUAUAUGGGAAAAGGAAACAGGAAAAAGAAAAAGAAAAAGAAGAAAAAAAAUUUAUAUGGGCCCCCAAACAGCCAAAAUCAUCUUGAAAAGGAACGAAGUUGGAGGACUAACACUCCCCAAUUUUACAACGUACUACAAAGCCACAGUAAUCAAAAUAGUAUGUAUUGGCAUAUGGACAGACAUAUACACCAGAGAAAUUGAAUUAGAGUCCAGAGAUAAACCCUCAUGGCAAUGACCAACUGAUUGCUGACAAGGCUGCCAAGUCCACUCAGUGCAGAAAGAAGAGUCUCUUCAACAAAAGGUGCUGAGAAAACUGGAUGUCCCUCUGCAAAGGAAUGAGGGCGGACCCUUACCUCACACCAUAUACAAAAAUCAGCUAAAAUGGAUCAUAGACCACAAGACUGUAAGAACCAAAGCUAUAAAGCCUAAAGGAGAAAAUGUAGGGAACUUGUGGUAGGCACUGAUUUCUCAGGCUUUACACCAAAAAGCAUAAGCAUCGAAAGAAAAAAAUAAAUGGGACUUCAUCAAAAGUAGAAAUGUCUGUGAAUCAAAGGACCUCACCAUGGAAGUAAAAAGACAACCUACAGAAUGGGAGAAAAUAUUUGGAAACCACAUAUCAGAAUUUAAUAUCCCGAAUAUAUGAAGAAAACCUACAACUCAGCAAUAAAAAGAUUGACUUGCCAAUUAAAAGCUGGGCAAAAGACAUGAGCAGACAUUUCUCCAAAGAAGAAAUUCAGAUGGUGAAUCAGCACAUGAAAAGAUGCUCGCCAUCAUGAGCCGCUAGGGAAACGCAAAUCAAAGCCACAGUGAGAGACCAUUUCCGCUUCUGCUGGAGUGGCUACUAUUUUAAAAAGCGGAAAAUUACAAGUGUUGGAAAGGAUACGGAGAAAUGGGAACACUCGUUCACUGUUGGUGGGAAUGUAAAAUGGUGCAGCUGUUGUGGAAGACAGUGUAGCAAUUCCUCAGAAAGCUAAGUACAGAAUUACCAUACGACAUGGCAACCCCACUUCUAGCCAUCAAAAAGAACUGAAAGCAGGAACAUGAGCAGAUAUUUGUGCACUGAUGUUCACAAUUUCCAAAAGAUGGAAGAAACUCAAGUGUCCAUCAGCAGAUGAAGGGAUGAACACAACGUGGUCUCUCCACACAAUGGACAUCACUCAGCUCUAAGAAGGAGCGACGUUCUGAUACAUGCUACAAACGGAGGGACCUUGAAACAUCAUGCUGAGUGAAGUAAGCCAGACAUGAAAGGACGGAUAUUGUACGGGCUCACUGACAAGAAAUAAUUAGAAUAAGCAAAUUCAUAGAAUAAGAAAUUAGGAUAUAUAUUACCAGGGUACAGUUUGGGGGCAGGGAAUGGGGAGUUAAUGCAUGAUUGGUACAGAGUUUCAGUUUUGGGUGAUGGAUGUUUUCAUAUGGAUGGUGGUGAUAGAAGCACAACAUUGUGAAUGCAAUUGAUAGCACUACAGUAUAUAUUUGAACAUAGUUAAAAGGGGAAAUUUCAGGUUGACUAUGUUACUAGAAUGAAAUUUCUUAAAAUCAUAUAACUGUACAACACAAAGAGUGAAUCCUAUGAUAAUAUUGUUUCUUUGAUUGUAACAAAAUACAUACAUUAAUGCAAAGUGUUAAUAGGGAAAACCGUGUGAGGGCAGAAGGUAUAUGGGAACUGUUUUCUGCAUGAUUUUUCUGUAAAUAUAUAUUUAAAAAUAAUUUUUAAAAAAACCAUCUGCCUGGAUAUCUGAUGUUAAGAAAUUCUUUUUAGAUGUGAUGUUAUUUUUUAAUGUUUAUUUUUAAAAAGAUUUCUUUUAUUAGGCUUGACCCUUUAGUUUUUAGAGCUACAUCGUGAAUUAUUUAUGGAAGAAAUGCCAUGUGUCUGGAAUUUGCUUUAAAAUAGUCUGGUACAGGCUUGAAAAUGUUGAACUAAAACUGACAGCUGAUAACGGAUGAGGUUGUGAUGGAUACACCGGCGCCCCCACACUGUCUCGCUAUUUUGUACAUGCGCUUUCAUUUUGCAUAAUAAAAAGUAUUUGAGGUCCCGCUGAGAGCUCAUUUAACCCUGCCGUCCCCCACCUCGCACGUUUGUUCUCCCCCUGCCAGCCCCCACUGUUCGCCCACACUGGGGCCUGCGCCGGCUCGACGCGGGCAUGGGGUGGCACGUGCCGGGCGGGGACCAGGCCUGCUCCUGGACAGCCCCCCCAGCCCCUCGCCCCCUUCGGGGCGCCCCACAGAUCGCAGCUGUCUGAGCAGACGUGCCCCCCAGGCCAGGAGGAGGCCACACGGAGGAGGCAGCAGCAGCCGGCCAGGGCAGGACGCGUGGGCAGGGCGUCCUGUGCGGACCCAGCUGAGCCCAGCACCCGGGACCCAGAGGGUGCACGGGGCCGGGGGAGGCGGAGCGCGGGCGUUCAGCAGGCCCGCAGGACUCGGGGUGCCCCCGGAGAGGAGGGCUGUAUUCCACGGGCAAAGCCACAGAUGAUUUCAGACAGAGCCGGGGGGUGGGGGGCAGGCUUCCCAAGGUGUGGCUGGCGGCGGGGAGCGGCCCGGCCCCGAGGGCCUGCCCAGGCCGCCUGCGCACCAAGCCUGUCUUUUCCCUGGCUUGGAAAUGCCCCAUCGGGGAGGCUGGGGCCCCACUGCAGUCUCUACAGAAAAGCCAGGAGCACUCCUGGGGUGCAAUGCUAUUCUCUGGGAGCCACCAGGGCAGGGGGCCCGGGGAAGAGGCUCAAGGCCCAGGACGUGGGGGAGAGGUGGGAGCUCCCCGAGGCUCGGGCAAUGGGAGCCCCAGCAGGUGCAGCGCACCGCAGGGGGUGCUAGGGCGCAUCCUCCCGUGGGGGUGCGUCUGCAGGGAGGG